This 229-nucleotide ribosomal RNA is filed under the name uncultured bacterium. RNAcentral describes it as "partial 16S ribosomal RNA". It matches the Rfam family "Bacterial small subunit ribosomal RNA", at positions 568 to 796 of the family's 1533-position model. The record is from RNAcentral.
CGCGUAGGCGGUCUCUUAAGUCAGAUGUGAAAGCCCGGGGCUUAACCCCGGAAGUGCAUUUGAAACUAAGGGACUUGAGUAUGGGAGAGGGAAGUGGAAUUCCUGGUGUAGCGGUGAAAUGCGUAGAUAUCAGGAGGAACACCGGUGGCGAAGGCGACUUCCUGGACCAAUACUGACGCUAAGGCGCGAAGGCGUGGGGAGCAAACAGGAUUAGAUACCCUGGUAGUCC